GAUUAACGCUGGCGGCGUGCAUAACACAUGCAAGUCGAACGAUGAAGAUUAUUAGACUUCUUCGGAAUGAAAAUAAUUGGAUUAGUGGCGGACGGGUGAGUAACGCGUGAGUAACCUGCCUUACACAAGGGGAUAGCCGUUGGAAACGACGAAUAAUACCCCAUGAAACUAUCACUUCGCAUGAAGCGAUAGUCAAAGUGUUAGCGGUGUAAGAUGGACUUGCGUCUGAUUAGCUAGUUGGUGAGAAAAAAGCCCACCAAGGCAACGAUCAGUAGCCGGCUUGAGAGAGUGUACGGCCACAUUGGGACUGAGACACGGCCCAGACUCCUACGGGAGGCAGCAGUGGGGAAUUUUGCACAAUGGGGGAAACCCUGAUGCAGCGACGCCGCGUGAUUUAGAAGGCCUUCGGGUUGUAAAAAUCUUUUGUAUAGGAAGAAAAUGACAGUACUAUACGAAUAAGGUCCGGCUAAUUACGUG
This 477-nucleotide ribosomal RNA is filed under the name uncultured bacterium. RNAcentral's name for it is "partial 16S ribosomal RNA". It matches the Rfam family "Bacterial small subunit ribosomal RNA", at positions 28 to 507 of the family's 1533-position model. The record is from RNAcentral.